GACGUAGGGCGCGAGCGUUGUCCGGAUUUAUUGGGCGUAAAGAGCUCGUAGGCGGCUUGUCGCGUCGACUGUGAAAACCCGAGGCUCAACUUCGGGCUUGCAGUCGAUACGGGCAGGCUAGAGUUCGGUAGGGGGAGACUGGAAUUCCUGGUGUAGCGGUGAAAAUGCGCAGAUAUCAGGAGGAACACCGAUGGCGAAGGCAGGUCUCUGGGCCGAUACUGACGCUGAGGAGCGAAAGCAUGGGGGAGCGAACAGG
This 256-nucleotide ribosomal RNA is filed under the name uncultured bacterium. Its description in RNAcentral is "partial 16S ribosomal RNA". It matches the Rfam family "Bacterial small subunit ribosomal RNA", at positions 524 to 776 of the family's 1533-position model. The record is from RNAcentral.